Molecule: ribosomal RNA, 253 nt
Filed under: uncultured bacterium
Lineage: Bacteria
Description: partial 16S ribosomal RNA
Rfam family: Bacterial small subunit ribosomal RNA
Source: RNAcentral
UACGAAGGGGGCUAGCGUUGUUCGGAAUUACUGGGCGUAAAGCGCGUGUAGGCGGGCCGUUAAGAUGGGGGUGAAAGCCCCGAGCUCAACUCCGGAACUGCCUUCAUGACUGGCGGCCUGGACUCAAGGAGAGGCAAGUGGAAUUGCGAGUGUAGAGGUGAAAUUCGUAGAUAUUCGCAGGAACACCAGUGGCGAAGGCGACUUGCUGGACUUGUAGUGACGCUGAGACGCGAAAGCGUGGGGAGCAAACAGG